AAUGAUAAAGAUAAAAACACAGUUCUGGUUGGUAGUCCAGACGCAGUAAUGUAAGUAACCUGCCUCCUUAGGUUGUCCAUUCUUUAUUAUAAAUUU
This is a non-coding RNA of Leptotrichia buccalis, 96 nucleotides long. Lineage: Bacteria; Fusobacteriati; Fusobacteriota; Fusobacteriia; Fusobacteriales; Leptotrichiaceae. The record is from Rfam.